GUGAGGAAUAUUGGGCAAUGGGGGAAACCCUGACCCAGCGACGCCGCGUGAGGGAAGACGGCCUUCGGGUUGUAAACCUCUUUUGUACGGGAAGAAGGAAGUGACGGUACUGUACGAAUAAGUCCCGGCUAACUACGUGCCAGCAGCCGCGGUAAUACGUAGGGGACGAGCGUUGUCCGGAAUUACUGGGCGUAAAGGGCGCGCAGGCUGUGCUGCAAGUCAGCUGUGAAAUGUCUGGGCUUAACCCGGGCAUGUGGUUGAGACUGCAGUGCUGGAGUGCUGUAGAGGCAAGUGGAAUUCCCAGUGUAGCGGUGAAAUGCGUAGAUAUUGGGAAGAACACCGGUGGCGAAGGCGACUUGCUGGGCAGCAACUGACGCUGAGGCGCGAAAGCCAGGGGAGCAAACGGGAUUAGAUACCCUUGUAGUCC
RNAcentral lists this ribosomal RNA (427 nucleotides) under uncultured bacterium. Its description in RNAcentral is "partial 16S ribosomal RNA". It matches the Rfam family "Bacterial small subunit ribosomal RNA", at positions 354 to 796 of the family's 1533-position model. The record is from RNAcentral.